Molecule: ribosomal RNA, 113 nt
Organism: Mesocricetus auratus (golden hamster)
Lineage: Eukaryota; Metazoa; Chordata; Mammalia; Rodentia; Cricetidae
Source: Ensembl
GUCUAUGGCCACUCUGAAUACUCUAAUCUCAUCUGAUCUUGGGAACUAAGCAGGGUCAGGCCUGGUUAGUACUUAGAUGGGAGUCAACCUGGGAAUGCCAGAUGCUGUGGCUA